This 497-nucleotide ribosomal RNA is filed under the name uncultured bacterium. Its description in RNAcentral is "partial 16S ribosomal RNA". It matches the Rfam family "Bacterial small subunit ribosomal RNA", at positions 28 to 507 of the family's 1533-position model. The record is from RNAcentral.
GACGAACGCUGGCGGCGUGCCUAAUACAUGCAAGUUGAGCGCUGAAGGUUGGUACUUGUACCGACUGGAUGAGCAGCGAACGGGUGAGUAACGCGUGGGGAAUCUGCCUUUGAGCGGGGGACAACAUUUGGAAACGAAUGCUAAUACCGCAUAAAAACUUUAAACACAAGUUUUAAGUUUGAAAGAAGCAAUUGCAUCACUCAAAGAUGAUCCCGCGUUGUAUUAGCUAGUUGGUGAGGUAAAGGCUCACCAAGGCGAUGAUACAUAGCCGACCUGAGAGGGUGAUCGGCCACAUUGGGACUGAGACACGGCCCAAACUCCUACGGGAGGCAGCAGUAGGGAAUCUUCGGCAAUGGACGAAAGUCUGACCGAGCAACGCCGCGUGAGUGAAGAAGGUUUUCGGAUCGUAAAACUCUGUUGGUAGAGAAGAACGUUGGUGAGAGUGGAAAGCUCAUCAAGUGACGGUAACUACCCAGAAAGGGACGGCUAACUACGUG